GUUUAUUUCCCCUUGGUUGGGAAAGAGGAGUUUCAUAAAAUCAUCUGUGCACCUCAACCAAGCCCAUGACGUAGCUGCGUUCAAGCGAAAGGAAGGAAAAAUCCACAACUAUUUUAGCUCCCUUUUUUUUUUCUCUUCCUUUCUCAUUCUUUUUUUCCCACUAUGGUGGUCAAUGAUGAGUGAUAUGCGGCCAUGGUCGUGUAUCUCAAUACAUAUAUAGGAAGAGGAUGAAUUGCUCUCUUUUGAGAGCUUGAUAUCGACUGACAACACUCUGAGGCCUGAUUUGGUUUUAUUCCAACCAACUCGAUCGGAUCGAUAUUUUUUCCCUCUACUUUCCUAUCUCUGUUUCUUUGGUUUCGAACCAUCAGAAUACUAUUUUGUUCCCUUGACUUUAAAUUUUAAUUCAGAAAGUUUCUGUGUAUCAUUUUACAUCUGGUUUGAUAACCAAGUAUUCACGCUGGAGCCAUUGAGGGCUCAAAUCAUACUUUUGACCCUAACUAACGCA
Molecule: small RNA, 505 nt
Filed under: Histoplasma capsulatum var. duboisii H88
Lineage: Eukaryota; Fungi; Ascomycota; Eurotiomycetes; Onygenales; Ajellomycetaceae
Description: Histoplasma capsulatum H88 hypothetical RNA
Source: RNAcentral